This is a long non-coding RNA of Physeter macrocephalus (sperm whale), 1588 nucleotides long. RefSeq lists it as uncharacterized. The transcript is spliced from 5 exons. The record is from RefSeq and is a predicted model, not a curated record. Lineage: Eukaryota; Metazoa; Chordata; Mammalia; Artiodactyla; Physeteridae.
AGUUUUGUCAUCUAUACAAAUGGGAAUAAUAAUAGUACCUACUUCGUGGGAUUGUUGUGAUUAAAUGAAAUAGUAUAUGGUGCAGCCUGGCAAAAGAUCCAGGUUUUAGCCUGUGAACCUGGGCCUGACUAUGGGUUCAGGGCAUACAAAGGGCUACUCCUCCGUACUCUUGAGCACUGGGAAGGCACUGGGAGGGCUCUGGCUUUGGUGGUGGAUUCUGGGGGAGGGGGUCCUGGGAAUAGGGAUCUGAGAGGGCUGGUACAGAAAAGGCAAUGGUCUGCCCCAGCUUUCAUGACUGGGGCCCCAAGGGAGCAGCUUCCAGGCCUUUGGUCCGGGAGAAGGAAUUUCCACUCAGGGCUCCAGGUAUGGACAGAGGGAACAGAAACAGGACCCCUAACCAAUCACUUCUGACCUGGGGGAGGGUAGAUUUCUGGAAGCUAAGUGGGGGUUGUCUUAAAAAAAAGGGUGACCUUGUCUGGGGCACGCUGCCCUGCAAGGGCACUGUGCUUGACUUUGGCUCAGUGCAUAGACUGGGCUCUGGAGACCAGCUGGGGUUAGAGAACUAGACUCUACUUCCUGCAGCCCUGCUGACGUCUUGGCCGUGACCUCCUGGGAUCAGACUCGUGUCCUCCUGCGAUCAGGACCCUGCGGAACUUUCCCAAGAUGGGUCCUCCGAGCCUGGCUGCGGUUGCACUCCUCCUGGAGCUACUGAUAACGAGGGUGGGCGCGGAGGUCGAGACCUGAGGAAACCGGCCGAUACCACUGGAGGGCGCGCGCCGGUCGGAGAGGCUAGGUGGUGACGCCUCUCCUAUACAUCUGCCUUCUACAACGACAAGUUUGUUCCAACUGUGACGAAAGGGAAGAGGAAUUUGUGAAAGUCACCAAUACUGUACCAUCACAUUGAUGUGAGACCUCUUGCCAGGAGCUCAUAGAAGACAGUGACCUGGUGCAGUGGAAAGCACAAGACUUUCGGCCAUGGCAACAAAGGACCUUGUGCUCACUACAGCAGAGCAUCCUGUCUUUGUCCAGCCCAGUCCAGUACAUCAGUCUCUGCAAAUAACAAAAGAUGUGGCCACUCGGCCGCCUGUCGGUGCCGCCACCAGAGCACUGAGAAAGGUUGAGGCCUCUCCAACUGGAACUGAACUAGGAGAGCAGCAGACAGACAGGAAGCCCCCUGUAGCAGGAACUGAUUCAACCUUUGCUCCUUUAGCCCUCAGUAGAUGGAAAUGCUGAAGCUCCUACGUCCUCUGUGCUUCUCUUUCUGAACACUCUUCCCUGGUGGUUGGCAAUCUGCCUGCCAAUGCAGGGGACACGGGUUCAAGCCCUGGUCCAGGAAGAUCUCACAUGCCGCGGAGCAACUAAGCCCAUGCACCACAACUACUGAGCCUGUGCUCUAGAGCCCGCGAGCCACAACUACUGAGCCCACGUGCCACAACUACUGAAGCCCACGCACCUAGAGCCCGUGCUCGGCAACAAGAGCAGGCACCACAGUGAGAAGCCUGCACACCACAACGAAGAGUAGCCCCCGCUUGCCGCAACUAGAGAAAGCCUGCGUACAGCAACGAAGACCCAAGGCAGCCAAAAAAAA